UAAAAUAUAGCUAAAUAAGUAAUUCAUUUACAUUGAAUUGAUGACUGUGUUCUGUUUUAA
Molecule: transfer RNA, 60 nt
Filed under: Zorotypus medoensis
Lineage: Eukaryota; Metazoa; Arthropoda; Insecta; Zoraptera; Zorotypidae
Description: tRNA-Val
Source: RNAcentral